RNAcentral lists this long non-coding RNA (2450 nucleotides) under Pan troglodytes (chimpanzee). RNAcentral describes it as "long non-coding RNA NONPTRT000015". The record is from RNAcentral. Lineage: Eukaryota; Metazoa; Chordata; Mammalia; Primates; Hominidae.
GACGGGGCUGGAGCGAUGGGGAAGAGAGUGCGGUGGGGUCCCUUGGUCCCCGUCCCCAGGAAGCCGGCGAGAUGGAACUCGCAUCUAUCGGGCCCUGACCAUGCUCGGGGCUGCACCGGCUCAGAAAGAAACCCAUCAGUGCAGGCACCGGUGCUUGACGGUCAGCUUGGGCCUGGGAUCCUGACCCUGCACCCGGGCUCUGAGAGGGAGAACUGUGGCGUUCGCUCAGCCAAGCCCGGACAGCUUAGCCGCCAGCCCCCUCCACCUUCCCGCAGCCCUUGUUUUCCCAGAGGUCAGAAGCCAGGCAGGAAGACCUAAGAGGGGCUAUCUGUUGAGGCCCCAGGGAGGGAGGAAGCCCGUCCCUGGCCUGAAGGCCUGACCCCAGGCUAGGUCUCAAGAGAGGCUGGAAGCCACAGGCCUGACGCCAGUCCCGCUGCUGACGCGUAUGUGGUCCAGCUGGGGCCCUGCCAGGUGUGGCCACUGGUGAGGCCAGAGGUAACCGGGCUGGGAGGGGGGUGCAUCUUCAAGCCACACCUCCCCGGACCAGCCUCCCUCCCUCCCCACCCAUGCUUGUGUGGGGUCCUUGUGGGCAACUGUCACCCUUUCCCACCCCCACUGUCCUGGGAGGACAGGAGGAUGGGGUUGGGUGGUGACGCCGGCUUCAAGAAGCAGCAGUUAGUCGCUGGUCUGUGCUGCCAGGACCCCGGGCCACGGGCCUUCCUGCUCCCGCCACUCCUCCCACCGCCUGAACUUGUGCUGAGAUCCUGCACCCGACCAGCUGAUGCCUGAGCGGGAAAGGAUUCUAGGGCCAGAUCCGUGCUGGCCUGGCCAAGACUCUCUUGGAACCACCCUGCUGUCCCGGGCUGUCUCUGCUGGAGCCUCUUUGCUCCCGCCCCCUUUGCAAGUGUCUGACCCGCAUCCCAUUACUCCCGCUCCUCGUCCCUCUGCCUCUCCAAGAGCUGUGCUCCCACGGCCUUCCCUCUGGCCUCACAGCCACCACCACGUCCCCCCUCCCCACGUCCAGGUUAGCCCUCAAGGGAAUCUGAACUCCUCCACGACCAGAAGCCACACAGAACUAGCUCAAAGGGCCCCUUCCAGGACACCGACUCCCAGAGGACCCAGACCUUUCAGCCCAAGGAAUGGGAUGACGUCAGGGGUUCCAGGUGGAGACGAGGACUCCCAGGCCCAGACUCAUGCCUUGCCCAGCCCCAGGAGACAGAGUUUCAGAAGCAUACCUGGGCCAAGUCUAAAAAUCAGAUGGGGACUUUAUUGUGAUGGUGGCAGGUCCACCAGCAGAUGCAAAUGUGGGGUGCUGAGAGUGGCAACACAGGCCACCCCAAACCAACUUCACUCCCUCCCCUGUCCUCAGCCAGUACAGAAACCAAAUGUAGCCCCAGCCCUAGACUCCAGCCCAGGCAGAGUCCAAGGGAGGGGUGUCAGGGUCAGAAGUCACAGGGAGCCCAGUGACUGUCAAGGUGGCUGAGAGCAAGGCUAGGGUAGGGAGGGAGCAGAGAAAGGGCAGGGGGUGCAGCCCCAGGUGGCCCAAAGCAACACAGAGGGGCAAGGGCUGGCAUUCACCAAGUCAGCAGGUCCCUGGGGAGAACAGAUGGUGCCUGGAGUCCCACAGGGUGGUACAGGUAGGGGAGCUCUCUGCGGCAGGCAGCACCCCAGGAGGAGUGGGACUCCUGCCGAGGCUGACCCCAACUUCAAGGCUGCCAAGUUCUGAUGGGAGUGUCCUCCAGAACAUCUCCCAGCCCCCGACGAGCAGAGCCCUGGAGGAGUGGGACUCCUGCCCUGAGGCUGACCCCAGUUUUGGGGCUGCCAGGUUCUGAUGGGAGUGUCCUCCAGGAAUGUCUUCAAGCCCCCAGCAGGCAGAGCCCAGAAGGGUCUGAGGGCAUGAUGGGCAUCAGUGGGAUUUUGGUUGUGCCAGGGGUGGGCAGGGCCACCCGUGAGCAAAGGCCGCAGGGGUGAGGGCUAUGCUGCCACCAAGCCCCUGGGAGAGGGGUGUGGAGGCGGCCUCUGCAUACGCCCAGGCCAAAUUCCAGGAAAGCGGGACCAGCCGCUGGAAGGGGGGUGAGCCUGGGAGCAUCAGGAGACGCCCCGAGGAGCACAGACAGGAGAGGUGCAGCUGCUGGCCCAGCCAGGAGCCCAGGGCCUCCCUAUUUGCAGUUCUCCUUCCGGAACCCUGGAAGCCAAGGGCGCCAACGGGUUGGCGGCUGUUCUCCACCCUCAUCACAGUGGGAGACACAGGGCAGACCCCCCCGCAGGACUCCCCAGGGAUUUCUGAGCCUGAGGUGGCAGGGGCCCCGGGCCUGGCUGGUGCCUGCCAUCGUUGGUCCCGGGUGAGGUGGAAUGGGGACAGGCAGGGCUCUGAGAUGGGCUGAGGUCGCCCCCCGCCGCUCACCUUUGUCUAGGUCGAUGUACUUGGCAGGCAGGGGGCUGUGGGCCAG